CAGUCGAACGAAGCACUCUAUUUGAUUUUCUUCGGAGAUGAAGAUUUUGUGACUCCCUUUAGGACGGGUGAGUAACGCGUGGGUAACCUGCCUCAUACAGGGGGAUAACAGUUGGAAACGACUGCUAAUACCGCAUAAGCGCACAGGAUUGCAUGAUCCGGUGUGAAAAACUCCGGUGGUAUGAGAUGGACCCGCGUCUGAUUAGCCAGUUGGCAGGGUAACGGCCUACCAAAGCGACGAUCAGUAGCCGACCUGAGAGGGUGACCGGCCACAUUGGGACUGAGACACGGCCCAAACUCCUACGGGAGGCAGCAGUGGGGAAUAUUGCACAAUGGGGGAAACCCUGAUGCAGCGACGCCGCGUGAGCGAAGAAGUCUUUCGGUAUGUAAAGCUCUAUCAGCAGGGAAGAAGAAUGACGGUACCUGACUAAGAAGCACCGGCUAAAUACGUGCCAGCAGCCGCGGUAAUACGUAUGGUGCAAGCGUUAUCCGGAUUUACUGGGUGUAAAGGGAGCGCAGACGGUGUGGCAAGUCUGAUGUGAAAGGCAUGGGCUCAACCUGUGGACUGCAUUGGAAACUGUCAUACUUGAGUGCCGGAGGGGUAAGCGGAAUUCCUAGUGUAGCGGUGAAAUGCGUAGAUAUUAGGAGGAACACCAGUGGCGAAGGCGGCUUACUGGACG
Molecule: ribosomal RNA, 679 nt
Filed under: uncultured bacterium
Lineage: Bacteria
Description: bacterial SSU rRNA
Rfam family: Bacterial small subunit ribosomal RNA
Source: RNAcentral